Molecule: long non-coding RNA, 228 nt
Filed under: Nicotiana benthamiana
Lineage: Eukaryota; Viridiplantae; Streptophyta; Magnoliopsida; Solanales; Solanaceae
Description: long non-coding RNA (NBEN_LNC033356)
Source: RNAcentral
UUUAUCCUUAUAAACUUGAUCCUCCUCAACAAAUUCGUUCAACAUAUUAUCUAUUAUGCCCGUAUUUUCACUAAAAUUCGUGUUUCAAUCAAUUCAAUAUCAAUAAUCUCAGUGCUAUAAGUUGUUGAUACAUCUCUAGAAUUUGAAUUUGUAGCAACCAAACAACUGGAACUUGAAGCAACCACAGAACUUGUAACAACCAAAUGAUUUUCAUAAAUCUCUUUCACU